RNAcentral lists this long non-coding RNA (650 nucleotides) under Glycine max (soybean). Its description in RNAcentral is "long non-coding RNA (GMAX_LNC002985)". The record is from RNAcentral. Lineage: Eukaryota; Viridiplantae; Streptophyta; Magnoliopsida; Fabales; Fabaceae.
AUCGCUAUAAUCAUACAUGAAAAACUUUUCCGUAAUUACAAGAUCAGCCCCAGUUUAUUCUUCACAUGUCAAAAACAAAAUAAUAAUAAUAAUAUCAUCUAAUGUACAGCAGUUAUGGAGUACUAGUAUUUUAAUACAAUUAAAAAAGUCGCCUGAUCCCUCAUUCUUCAAAACUUACAUAAUUUAAUACCUCGUGAAUUAUGACUAAGCACUAAAUAGAUGAGUUUUCUCAGUAAAACUAAUCUAAUAAAAAAAAAAGGGGGGGGGAAUAACAAGCGGGUCGGGAUGGUCGCAGGAACUAACAAGGAAAGGAGCAGGUUGGUGAGAGAGACUGAGAGUAGUGGGAGGUGGUUAGCAUAACAUAACCUCACACCGAUUGAGUUAGAUUUGGAUCUUGACAAAUAAACUUGUUAUAUUUUUAGGUCGGAUUUGUAUCGCACUGCGGAACAAUGUAUUUUAAAUCAAGUACAGUAGUAUAAUAAAAUACUCUAAACAUGAGAUUUUUGGAGACAUGAAAAUAUGGGACGAUCUCAAUCAUAGAUUAAAAAUAGAAUGAAAAUAUAUGGUGGAGAGGAAAUGAAAUCCAUCUAACCUAACCAAAAAAAGUCCCAUUAUAAUAGUGAGGUUAACGAAGACGCGUUGAAGUGUGG